RNAcentral lists this ribosomal RNA (345 nucleotides) under Triticum aestivum (bread wheat). RNAcentral describes it as "partial small subunit ribosomal RNA". The record is from RNAcentral. Lineage: Eukaryota; Viridiplantae; Streptophyta; Magnoliopsida; Poales; Poaceae.
CCUUCCUCGACUAAAUAUUUACGAUCACACCAAAGCAUCCCCCUAGAAGAGAAGUUGUUUCUAAAGAACCUUCAUAACUGCAACUUAACUACAGGCCGAAUGAUGCACAUCAUGUCGGAUUUCUAUGGCACGGAGCUGAUUGUUCCUUAUACUACCAAGCGCAUCACAAACCUAAAGUCAAGCUUGAACAGAAAUGCAACUAAAGAAGGUGAUAUGAUUGAGACGGUUGCCUACUUCAAAGAUAUACAGAAGACAGAUCCAGAAUUCUUCUACAAGGUCAAGUAUGAUGCAGAAGACAAGGUUGAUAAUAUAUUCUGGGUUGAUGGACCAGCACGAAAAGCGUAG